This 370-nucleotide ribosomal RNA is filed under the name Aliarcobacter butzleri. RNAcentral describes it as "bacterial SSU rRNA". It matches the Rfam family "Bacterial small subunit ribosomal RNA", at positions 1001 to 1370 of the family's 1533-position model. The record is from RNAcentral. Lineage: Bacteria; Pseudomonadati; Campylobacterota; Epsilonproteobacteria; Campylobacterales; Arcobacteraceae.
CAGAAUAGGUGGUCCUUGCUUGCAGAACCUUGCUUACAGGUGCUGCACGGCUGUCGUCAGCUCGUGUCGUGAGAUAAGGGGACAAGUCCCGCAACGAGCGAACCCUCGUCCUUAGUUGCUAACAGUUCGGCUGAGAACUCUAAGGAGACUGCCUACGCAAGUAGGAGGAAGGUGAGGAUGACGUCAAGUCAUCAUGGCCCUUACGUCCAGGGCUACACACGUGCUACAAUGGGGUAUACAAAGAGCAGCAAUACGGUGACGUGGAGCAAAUCUCAAAAAUGCCUCCCAGUUCGGAUUGUAGUCUGCAACUCGACUACAUGAAGUUGGAAUCGCUAGUAAUCGUAGAUCAGCUAUGCUACGGUGAAUACGA